GUAUUUCUCUCAUGUUCCAAAGGAAGGAUGACUUGCCAAAUUCAUCUUUAAAGAACUAAACUAGUGAAUACUUCCGAAAGUAUUUUUCAGGAAAUCGAUUUUUAGUUUCAGGGGAAUAUACAUAAUCUUCAAGAGAUAUGAUCUACAUACCUGACAGGGAACAAAGCAGCAUGAUUUCUACAAGUCUAAGAAAAACCUAAGAAAUAUAAAAUAACAUUCUGAAACUGGUAAAACAGCCGGAAGAACCCAGAGGAUCAUGCUUUGCCUGCUUGCUUAGAUCUCUGCUUCUUGCCUGCUCCUGACCAUCCAUGAGCUAUCUGCCAUCUUGCACCCCCUCCUACUAAGCACAACUGGGACCAUCCCCGACCACUUUCUGCACUCUAUUGUUCUGUCUGGUUACCAAAUUUUGCAUCUAGCCAGAGUUAGGCUAGGUAUCCCAUCUAUCAAGCCCUGAUUUAAGAAACAUCAUAACACAAGAGGCAGUUAUAAAUGGCUAACAUUUGUGGAUAUACUAAUUAUAUAGCAGGUAUUGUGCUGUGUGUUUUAUAUGGAUCAUGCCAUUUGUUCAGAACUGAGACUUCCAGCAACCACACAGAUUACCUAUCAGAACUAUGAUAAGGCUUAAAAGUCAUAAACAACUUCAUUUCAUGCAUCAAGAACUACUAGGAAAUAAAUCUAUUCAAACAAUAAACUGUUCAAACAGCCCCAUUCUCAGGAGGGUAAGUUGCUCACGUGGGUAAACAGCCUGUUUCAUAGGACUAUUAUAUAUUGCCUAACUAGUCAAACUGGUUGCUUAUCAAUUAACCUCCAGAACUUCGUUAUUAUGUCUACCCAUCCCAAACUAUUAUGUUACAUACUUCACACAAUACAUUAAAAGACCUUCCUUAAACUACUUAAGUCCAGAUUCCCCAUGUCUACAAAUAUCCACCUUGGCCUCUCCUUUCUAUGACUACUAAGACAUCUGUUAAGGUGGUGAUCAGGAAAUAAACUCAGUUUCCUUCUUCAUCAGGUUAUUCUGGUGGUCUUUUGUGAGGUUAACAGAAAAGAUAAUCCUUACAAUAUUCCUUAUGAACCAUUUGUACUUUUUUUCUUUUC
Long non-coding RNA from Gorilla gorilla gorilla (western lowland gorilla), 1095 nucleotides. RefSeq lists it as uncharacterized. Lineage: Eukaryota; Metazoa; Chordata; Mammalia; Primates; Hominidae. The transcript has 4 exons. The record is from RefSeq and is a predicted model, not a curated record.